This is a long non-coding RNA of Etheostoma cragini (Arkansas darter), 192 nucleotides long. RefSeq lists it as uncharacterized. The transcript is spliced from 4 exons. The record is from RefSeq and is a predicted model, not a curated record. Lineage: Eukaryota; Metazoa; Chordata; Actinopteri; Perciformes; Percidae.
UUAAAAUACUGUUGAUUGUUGUUCAUUUAAAUACUUUUAUUAUUUAAAGUUGUGACCAUUAUUUUUUAUAAUUAUUUAUGUGCCAUUCUUACUGAUGGAUUGCUGUAUGAAGACUGCUGUUCAUAUUGUUGUGAGAAGUUUAAUGGAUAUAUGUUGGCAGUUGUUGAGAAAUUUAUAAAUUCUGCUUUUUUG